GACGAACGCUGGCGGCGUGCCUAAUACAUGCAAGUCGAACGAGAGCGACCGGUGCUUGCCCUGGUCAAUCUAGUGGCGAACGGGUGAGUAACACGUGGGUAACCUGCCCAUCAGAGGGGGAUAACAUCCGGAAACGGAUGCUAAAACCGCAUAGGUCUUCGAGCCGCAUGGCUUGAAGAGGAAAAGAGGCGCAAGCUUCUGCUGAUGGAUGGACCCGCGGUGCAUUAGCUAGUUGGUGAGGUAACGGCUCACCAAGGCCGUGAUGCAUAGCCGACCUGAGAGGGUGAUCGGCCACAUUGGGACUGAGACACGGCCCAAACUCCUACGGGAGGCAGCAGUAGGGAAUCUUCCGCAAUGGACGCAAGCCUGACGGAGCAACGCCGCGUGAGUGAAGAAGGUUUUCGGAUCGUAAAACUCUGUUGUUAGAGAAGAACAAGUGCUAGAGUAACUGUUAGCGCCUUGACGGUAUCUAACCAGAAAGCCACGGCUAACUACGUG
RNAcentral lists this ribosomal RNA (498 nucleotides) under uncultured bacterium. RNAcentral's name for it is "partial 16S ribosomal RNA". It matches the Rfam family "Bacterial small subunit ribosomal RNA", at positions 28 to 507 of the family's 1533-position model. The record is from RNAcentral.